RNAcentral lists this ribosomal RNA (253 nucleotides) under uncultured bacterium. Its description in RNAcentral is "partial 16S ribosomal RNA". It matches the Rfam family "Bacterial small subunit ribosomal RNA", at positions 524 to 776 of the family's 1533-position model. The record is from RNAcentral.
UACGUAGGCAGCGAGCGUUGUUCGGAAUUACUGGGCGUAAAGAGUGUGUAGGCGGUGCUCCAAGUUCGGUGUGAAAUCUCCUGGCUCAACUGGGAGGGUGCGCCGGAAACUGGAGUGCUUGAGCGUGGGAGAGGAAAGCGGAAUUCCUGGUGUAGCGGUGAAAUGCGUAGAUAUCAGGAGGAACACCUGUGGUGUAGACGGCUUUCUGGACCAUAGCUGACGCUGAGACACGAAAGCGUGGGUAGCAAACAGG